This 108-nucleotide small nuclear RNA is filed under the name Microtus ochrogaster (prairie vole). Lineage: Eukaryota; Metazoa; Chordata; Mammalia; Rodentia; Cricetidae. The record is from RNAcentral.
GUGUUAGCUUCAGCAGCACGCUAAAAUUGGAAUGAUAAGGAGAAGAUUAGCACAGCCCUGGCUAGGCAAGGAUGACACUCAGAGUCCCUUGAAGCAUUCCAAAAGGGG